This 377-nucleotide ribosomal RNA is filed under the name uncultured bacterium. Its description in RNAcentral is "bacterial SSU rRNA". It matches the Rfam family "Bacterial small subunit ribosomal RNA", at positions 521 to 896 of the family's 1533-position model. The record is from RNAcentral.
UAAUACGGGGGGAGCGAACGUUGUUCGGAAUCACUGGGCGUAAAGGGCGUGCAGGCGGCCCGGUAAGUGGAAUGUGAAAUGCCCUGGCUCAACCAGGGAACUGCAUUCCAGACUGCCAGGCUUGAGUACAGGAGAGGAUGGGGGAAUUCCCGGUGUAGCGGUGGAAUGCAUUGAUAUCGGGAGGAACACCAGUGGCGAAGGCGCCCAUCUGGCCUGAUACUGACGCUGAGGCGCGAAAGCUAGGGGAGCAAACAGGAUUAGAUACCCUGGUAGUCCUAGCCGUAAACGGUGAGCACUAGGUGUAGGAGGCAUCGACCCCUCCUGUGCCGUAGCUAACGCAUUAAGUGCUCCGCCUGGGGAGUACGACCGCAAGGUUG